CCCUUAGAUGUUCUGGGCAGCACGCGCGCUACAAUGGUCUUCGCAAACGGAUGCAUUCUCGAAGGAGAAUGCCAAUCUUGGAAUCUAUGCCUUGGUCGGGACAGUUGCUUGCAAUUUUUCGACUCGAACCAGGAAUUCCUUGUAAUCGUGAUUCAUCACAUCACGAUGAAUACGUCCCUGCCCUUUGUACACACCGCCCGUCGCUCCUACCGAUCGAAGAGUUAGGUGAAUUGUUUUGAUCGAUAAGAUUUGACUAUGGUCAACUCUCGUUGUGAAAUUCUGUGAAUCUGACUGUUGAGAGGAAGGAAAGGUCGUAACA
This 319-nucleotide ribosomal RNA is filed under the name uncultured eukaryote. RNAcentral describes it as "partial 18S ribosomal RNA". It matches the Rfam family "Eukaryotic small subunit ribosomal RNA", at positions 1470 to 1796 of the family's 1831-position model. The record is from RNAcentral.